CUACGGGGCGCUGCAGUCGAGAAUUUUUCUCAAUGGGGGAAACCCUGAAGGAGCGACGCCGCGUGGGGGAUGAAUGGCUUCGGCCCGUAAACCCCUGUCAUCCGGGAGCAAUGUUGCUUCGCUAAUACCGGAGCAAUUGAUAGUACCGGAAGAGGAAGGGACGGCUAACUCUGUGCCAGCAGCCGCGGUAAUACAGAGGUCCCAAGCGUUGUUCGGAUUCACUGGGCGUAAAGGGUGCGUAGGCGGUCGGGUAAGUCUGAUGUGAAAUCUUCGAGCCUAACUCGGAAACUGCAUCGGAUACUAUUCGGCUUGAGGAUUGGAGGGGGGACUGGAAUUCUCGGUGUAGCAGUGAAAUGCGUAGAUAUCGAGAGGAACACCAGUGGCGAAGGCGAGUCCCUGGACAAUUCCUGACGCUGAGGCACGAAAGCUGGGGGAGCAAACAGGAUUAGAUACCCUCGUAGUC
RNAcentral lists this ribosomal RNA (463 nucleotides) under uncultured bacterium. RNAcentral describes it as "partial 16S ribosomal RNA". It matches the Rfam family "Bacterial small subunit ribosomal RNA", at positions 339 to 795 of the family's 1533-position model. The record is from RNAcentral.